This is a small nucleolar RNA of Cervus hanglu yarkandensis (Yarkand deer), 135 nucleotides long. The record is from Ensembl. Lineage: Eukaryota; Metazoa; Chordata; Mammalia; Artiodactyla; Cervidae.
GCGGCUCGCAGCCUUGCUGGCACUGUGGCCGCGGCUGCCCUGCUGCACCUGAGACACUGGGGCAGGGAGGAAGUGGCCAUUUCUGUGCUCAGUGCUCAGAACUGAGCGCUGAGAGUGAACUGCAGCCGGACUUCA